UCCGGUUGAUCCUGCCGGACCCGCCCGCUAUUUGGGUGAGGAUAAGCCAUGCGAGUCGAAUGGGAUACCUAAACUUCCCAUGGCAAACUGCUCAGUAACACAUGAUCAACUUACCCUAUAGAGAGAAAUACCCUCGGGAAACUGAGGAUAAUGACUCAUAAUUGAAAAGGCUUGGAAAAGUUUUUCAAUAAAAGGAUAUGAUUAAUGGUUCCUAUCCACUAUAGGAUAGGAUCGUGCUCGAUUAUGGUUGUUGGUGAGGUAACGGCUCACCAAGCCGAUAAUCGAUAGGGGCCGUGAGAGCGGGAGCCCCGAGAUGGGUACUGAGACAACGACCCAGGCCUUACGAGGCGCAGCAGGCGCGAAACCUCCGCAAUACACGAAAGUGUGACGGGGUUACCCAAAGUGUUCAUUUAUGAACUGUGGUAGGUGAGUAAUGUCCCCUACUAGAAAGGAGAGGGCAAGGCUGGUGCCAGCCGCCGCGGUAAAACCAGCUCUUCAAGUGGUCGGGAUAUUUAUUGGGCUUAAAGUGUCCGUAGCCGGUUUAACAAGUUCCUGGUAAAAUCAGGUAGCUUAACUAUCUGUAUGCUAGGAAUACUGUUAUACUAGAGGGCGGGAGAGGUCUGAGGUACUACAGGGGUAGGGGUGAAAUCUUAUAAUCCUUGUAGGACCACCAGUGGCGAAGGCGUCAGACUGGAACGCGCCUGACGGUGAGGGACGAAAGCCAGGGGAGCGAACCGGAUUAGAUACCCGGGUAGUCCUGGCCGUAAACGAUGCAUACUAGGUGAUGGCAAGGCCAUGAGCCGUGUCAGUGCCGUAGGGAAACCGUUAAGUGUGCCGCCUGGGAAGUACGGUCGCAAGGCUAAAACUUAAAGGAAUUGGCGGGGGGGCACCACAAGGGGUGAAGCCUGCGGUUCAAUUGAAUUCAACGCCGGG
RNAcentral lists this ribosomal RNA (933 nucleotides) under uncultured archaeon. RNAcentral describes it as "bacterial SSU rRNA". It matches the Rfam family "Archaeal small subunit ribosomal RNA", at positions 1 to 922 of the family's 1478-position model. The record is from RNAcentral.